AUGUACGGCUUCUCUCCGCCGAGCCACGACGUCGCCCCUCUGCCAUGGGUUUGCCGCGAAGACUUGCUCAUCCACGUCGACCUCGUCGAAGAUUGGACACCGCUGUCCCCGCGCUCCUCCUCCUCCUCCCCGCAGAGCGGCAUUCCCUCAUCUGAGUCUGAGGGUGACACCAGGCCGUUCCCUGCAGUUUACCCUGGUACCUGGGUGAUGGAGAUCGAAGAUGGUCAGGCUCCUGACGACCAAGGCCGUGCGCAUUGCCCCGGGCCUGUUGUGGCCAGCACUAGCUACGACGGCAUGCCUUUCGGCGGCCCCAGACGCAGCCACGACAGCGACGAUGGAGGGGGCCGGCGCUCCUGGAAAGACACCCUCCUGGGGCGCGGGUGCUCCUCCCAUGAAGCUUCUGCGGCGGCGCAACCCCAGCAACCCUAG
Molecule: ribosomal RNA, 429 nt
Filed under: Triticum aestivum (bread wheat)
Lineage: Eukaryota; Viridiplantae; Streptophyta; Magnoliopsida; Poales; Poaceae
Description: partial small subunit ribosomal RNA
Source: RNAcentral